CAGUGGACGCUCCAGCGGCUUCUUCAAGCUGCGCAUGCGAGAAGAAAGCACACCGAAAAAGGGCCAGCCACUACGUCAUACGUCCCUCCCCUUACGCACACUUCCUUCGCGUCAUUCGGCCUCCGCAGCUGCAGUGGCAUUCCCCGCUGCCAACCCUCCCCUCUCCUUCCUUUCAUCUCUCCUUUGUAGCCACGUGGAUCGCGCACACCGCAUCGACGGCGCGUCCAUCCCCUCGCCCCUCUUCUCCCUCACUCUAAUUACCCUAGACAACCUCCUUGAUUUAUUUCUUUGGUCUUCUCGUCGCGUGCCCUUUCUUGAAGGUCUGGCCGUGGUCUGUAGCCACCCCACAACGACGACGACGACCACCGCCACCCGCCAUCGCCUCAAGCACUGCCUCAGUGCGUUUCUCCUUGCUUGUCAUCGGUUGUCCGUCUCGGAUAUCUGUGCCGGUGUGCUCUGCUGGCCUUUGACACUUCCUUCGUUGUACCUCCCCACACCCACCCACACCCACCUUCCCUCCCUCUUGGUCUUACCUUCUUUACUAGACUUGUUUCACGUCCCUCCUCUUCGAUCAUCAUCAUCAGCUGAUUGCCCUCCACUCAUCUCGUCCGCGAGUCGACCUCCACGCCCUCUUCUGCCACGGCACUUGCCGGGCGGUGCAGCUUCGAUAGGAGGAAGGGGGAGCACACACUACACACGACGCACACAUCUCCCGUCUGGUUCGCCUCUUCGUUUCGUCUGUAGUGGCAAUCGCCCUCCCUCACCCGUGCCUCCCUCUCCCUCUUUCGCUCGCCAUCACCACUGCUCUAAGUCUGCGCGCGUUUGUCCAUCUGUCCUUGCCAUCCGACGAAAUUCUCCGCCGUUGUUUGUUUUACGCGCACGCCUCGGUGUUUUUGGUUUUUUUGUUGUUGUUAGUUAAAUCCGAUCCUAUCCUCCUUCUCCCCUCCUCCCCUCCCUCUCUCUCUGAUUCUCACGACUUCUCCGGCACAUACACACGCACGAUCAGUGUCCUCCUCCUCCGACAGCCUAUCGCCAUUCUUCGCAGGAGCGGUCUCGCUGCAGCCCCUCUCCCGCUCCAAGCACAUACAGUGAGGGAUGCUUCGGCGCACCGGUUGCUGUCUAGCCCUCUUUAGCAGCGCAGGCGGGUCGGCUCCGCGGUCGAAGCGGCCGCACUCGAGUAGCGGAGCGGACGCUUCGGCCUCGGAAGAAGCUGCGGCGGCGGCUGGCGUGUAUCUUCCAUGGACGGCGCGGCCGUGGGCAGUGACGUACCGUGUGCACUACUCGCAGUGGAAAUUUGUGGACACGGUGUUUGCGCACCUCGCCACUGUGACUCCAGCCGUGUUGAACGAUCGUGCCGAGGAGCAGGGCGUGCGUGACGUUCUCUGUGAGCUGGAGGAACCCGUGGUAGCGCUGCGACGCCAGCAGGCACGGCAGGCGCGACAGCUGAAGAAGCAGGAGAAGCCGUCAGCAGCCAGUGCGACAAGCUCUCCAUCGCAGUUGCUCGCCUCCGCUUUACAGUGCACGGCUACCACCGCUCAAGCGUCCCCCUCCGGCACAGCGCCGAGUGACAUGACCGCAGACGGCGCAGCAACAGCGGAAGCAGCGUGUGCGCUGGAGCCACUGGCCAACAGAGCCGAUGUGGCGGCGACACAAGAGGCAGUUGACAGCAACAUCACGCUACUCGAUGCCAGCAAGAAGGGCAGUCGGAAGAGCAAGAGGGCCAGUCGCAAAUCUGCCACUUCUGCUGUCGUCAUCUACGAGCUGUAACGCGUCUGGCACGGGCCACGACGUUGUGUAAGGUGCUCCUGUCUCCGUGGUACUUUCCUUUUUCUCUUGCGUCUUAGACUUUGCCCAUCAUCCGUCCCUCUCCCUCUCUCUUCCUCUGUGUGUAUCCGUCCGUGUCCGUGUGUGCCGGGAAGGAAAAGGAUUCGGCCUGCGCCCGGCGUCGUGUUGCUCUUGACGUGAAGGCUUCGCUUUCGCUUUCUGUGGAGGCUGUCCUUUUAUGUAGGGAACGGUGGUGGUGGUGCCACCCCUCGUCCUCUCUUCCCUCUGCUGCUGAUGUGUUGUGCUCGUCGUUGUUGUUGCUCGCUCGCUGUUGUUCUGCCCGUCGUCGCC
Molecule: unclassified non-coding RNA, 2115 nt
Filed under: Leishmania donovani
Lineage: Eukaryota; Euglenozoa; Kinetoplastea; Trypanosomatida; Trypanosomatidae
Description: gene:LdHU3.13.0880(CDS-product:hypothetical_prote in_conserved)
Source: RNAcentral